ACCAUCUCUCCCAGAUAUAUUGAUUCUGUCGUACAAAUAAAACCCUUUGCCCAAAUUUCAUUAAAUUCAUCAAAUCCAUCGAAUCCUUUUCCCAAGUAGAUUUUCUUAGCUCAAAUUCAUCGAUUCAUCAAAUUCCUCUAAUAUUUUUGCUCAAAAUACUCAAAUUUCAACUCGAUGGCUCAAUAUGUAAUCUUUAAGCUCAGUUCAGUGAUGAGAACAACAAUUUCAGUGACUAGAGUGGAAAUUUCUGCUUAGCUAAGGGACUAGAGUGGAAAUUUCAUCUCAAGUAGUGAUUAGAGCAGAAAUAAUAGUGAAAAUUUUAACUUCACUUCCAUUUACUUAUUGUAUAAUUAGUCACCCAUUUCGUUUUUCAGUGGAAGAAGAACGGUAGUAGCCAUCAACUCUCAGGCAGUGUUCCAUAUAUCUCACAACUCUCCGGUAGGUAGGAUUCCAUAUAUCUCACAAAUUUCUGAUAGGGUUUCUAAAAAUUUUGCAUCUUCUUAUCCUUCGAGUUAAAUUUCUGCUUAAUUUUUAACAUAUUUUAAUAGAUUUAUAUAUAGGAAUUGUUUAGUUCUAGUCGUUUCUAUUUCUACUUGGUUUCAACUUUGUGGAUCUGAAGCUAUUAGAUUAAGAACUAAUAUGGGUCAAUUGUAGUUCUACUUACUUUUAUGUCUUGUAAUUGAGUUUAUAUUUUUCUUUUUAUGAACAUUGCUAUAAGAGCUCUUUAACUUUGUAUUCAAUGGGUUUCUUUGUUCUUCUUUAUUGGAUUUUGGUAGUUUUUAGUAAGGUUUAUUUGAAAUAAUACAAGAGCAAUCAAGAAAUUAAAUUAUGUCUGUGGUUGCAAAUUUGUCCAUACAGUUGUGCAAUGUAUCUAUAAAUAGUUCUAGGUGGCCUGAACUUUUAAAGUUAAAAGUAGGUCAAUUUGAUGAGGGGCUGGCACAUCACGGGGAUGAAUUUUCCUUAUAUUUACCAUUUUUGAAAUAUACACAUCCCAAAUAUGGUUAUCUUAAUCUCGCUCUAUGACUUCUUGAUAACUAUUCAAAACCACAUUUGGAGCCUAAGGAAUACAUUGCUUAUGGGUUUUCGAAGGAGCUUAGACGUGGAGGCUCAGUCAUCAAGCUACAGUAUUCUGUAACUGAUAUGGUAAGAUCUUAAAUUAGAGGAAUAUCUCAGGAAGCACUUCGAGGAAUUUAGGAACAUAUAUGGCUUAUCGUUGGCGGAGAAGUAGAUUGAUAAAUGUUAUGGGUUUUAUGGAGUGUCCCAACGUCUCCUUCUAGCUCUGGAACAUUAGCUCUGCACACUGCUGAGUUAGCUGAUUUGUAGCUAUAGACUUCAAUUUAGCUUCAUUAGUCUUUAGCUUUUCUAUCUCAUUACCCAUACUGUCCACUUUUAUUAAAAGCGUAGUUAGGGUGUUAAGUAUUUUUUCUAGAGUAUCUUCUUCUAUUAAUUCUGUCUGUGUAGCUUUGUCUUGAUAUGUAAUCUGCAAUAACAUUUUUGUUAGUACUGAUCACUUUAAUUGUAAAUGUGAAAUUUAAUAUAUUUAAAACUAGUCUCC
Long non-coding RNA from Capsicum annuum, 1555 nucleotides. RefSeq lists it as uncharacterized. The transcript is spliced from 3 exons. NCBI's taxonomy places the organism in Eukaryota, Viridiplantae, Streptophyta, Magnoliopsida, Solanales, Solanaceae. The record is from RefSeq and is a predicted model, not a curated record.